Molecule: ribosomal RNA, 457 nt
Filed under: uncultured bacterium
Lineage: Bacteria
Description: partial 16S ribosomal RNA
Rfam family: Bacterial small subunit ribosomal RNA
Source: RNAcentral
GAUGAACGCUGGCGGCGUGCCUAAUACAUGCAAGUCGAGCGGAAAGGCCCUUCGGGGUACUCGAGCGGCGGACGGCUGAGUAACGCGUAGGAACGUACCCCAAAGUGAGGGAUAACUGCUCGAAAGAGUAGCUAAUACCGCAUGUGCUCUUCGGAGUAAAGCUUCGGCGCUUUGGGAACGGCCUGCGUCCUAUUAGCUAGUUGGUGAGGUAAUUGCUCACCAAGGCGACGAUAGGUAGCUGGUCUGAGAGGAUGAUCAGCCAGACUGGGACUGAGACACGGCCCAGACUCCUACGGGAGGCAGCAGUAGGGAAUUUUCCACAAUGGGCGAAAGCCUGAUGGAGCAACGCCGCGUGCAGGAUGAAUGCCUUCGGGUUGUAAACUGCUUUUAUAGGUGAAGAAUAUGACGGUAACCUAUGAAUAAAGAUCGGCUAACUCCGUGCCAGCAGCCGCGGUAA